RNAcentral lists this long non-coding RNA (2835 nucleotides) under Canis lupus familiaris (dog). RNAcentral's name for it is "lncRNA (ENSCAFG00000054388.1, ENSCAFG00805001185.1)". Lineage: Eukaryota; Metazoa; Chordata; Mammalia; Carnivora; Canidae. The record is from RNAcentral.
GUCUCUGGUUUGCUGUAAUGACAGUGAGAACUAACUACUCAUACAAUUUCUCUCAAGCAGCUACUGGACUGAGUGGGGGAAAUAACACAUUUUAUGCAUGACUGAUUGCAUAAACCCUUCAUUUUAGAGAAACAAGCCUCAAAUGAGUAAUUUAUUUAUAGAAAUGAAAACCAAAUAAAUAAUACUUGUUUUCAAGGAACAAAUGAAAGAAAAUCUCAUUUCCAAACAUAUUUUCUUUUUUUAAUCCAAAAUGAAAGGCCAAGAAGAUACUGUAACACAUGCAAGGAGUUACACGUUAGUGACAUUUUUAAAAAUUAAGAAAAUUACAUGUUAGAUUUGUUAUAAAUACCUGCUUUACAGGUUUUGUAUUUCUUUGAUCAGAAAAAGGGAAUCUGUGGACAUUUUGCGACAUUAGUCUACCUUAUUUGUAUUAAUUUAUGCCUACUGUCUAUACUAACAGAAUUGAUAUUUUCAGUUUAUUUGCUUUUAAUUGCUAAGCAUUUUUUUUUUUUGCCAUUCAUGUUUUGAACAAUAGAAAACAGUUGCCAGGCUUUUGCAUAAGAAGCACGUCUUAAAAUAUGUAACAAUUUAUUAUGAAGUAUAGAUUUUAUUAAUGGUUUAAGUAUAAAUAGCAAGUUUAUAUUUUGGCAAAUGAUUUUCCUUUUCUAUAUUUAAUUGGCUAAGUGUAGUUUCUUUAAUCGUCGGAAAAUUAAUGGGAAAAUUUGAGACACUGCUAAAUAAUGAUAGCGCUCACACCAAUUAUCCUCACUGUACUUUAUAGUUUACUAAUAACCACCUCAAUCAAGGUGUCUUUCACUGAAACAAAUCACUCAACUUUAUUUCAGUUAUAUAGUUUGUAAUGACCCGUUGAAGUAUAAUAUACUCCCCUAAUUAAGAAAUGAUGUGAACACGGUGUGAAUGAGGCUGAUGUGAAGCAGGGGGGAAAGAGGCAAAUAUCCAUCUGAUCUACUUAGUAUUCAGGGGCACACAACCCUUCCCAGGCUCAGCCAUGUGGUGAACUCAUGGCCACAUGCUCUGUCCAACCGCAAACACCAUUAUAUCCCCUCCCAGCUUCUUCGGCCAGCCUUGCUGCUUUUCAUCUACUGGGACACUUUGUGGAUAAAGAGAAAGGCUCUGCUUGGAAGGAAUCCCCUCCCCUCUCCCCCUGCCUCCUAGUGUCAUUUUGUCCUCUAUCUACACUUGAAUGUGCUGGCAAUAAACCUGUUUUGAUAAGCAGGAUUUGCAAAUCUGGCCUCUCUGGGCUGCGACUUCACGUCAAUAUUUGUGCCCAACAUCUGAAUAGAGUGAGGGUCCCAGUGCACUGUUCUCUCCCCUAACUGUCUUUCAUCAUAGUUAGUACCUUAUUCAAUGUGAUUUCAGAUGCAUGGGGAGUACUGUGGAAUCAUGCUGAUAAGAUGAUAAAGAACAAAAUUUAUCUCAUUUUUGAAGGAAAUCCACUUAGAUUUGUAUUGUUUAAGAAUACAUUACCAUUUAGCCAUCUUACAUAUUUCAAGACACAGAAAAAUACCUGUUUGGCAAGGUAGCAUGUUUAAGUAUAAAUGAACCCAGUUUGUUUGUGUAAAUCUCGUCUUGUUCUGGAGAGGAUUUAAGGCAGCUGAACAAGGUAGGUGAACAUAUUGAAUAACGUUUAAUAAAUGGUUAGCAAUCAGAAACAUGUUGGAAAGGCAUGAAUCAAGCACAGGGUUUGGGGUCUCUGUUAUCACAAGGCAAAACGGACCCAUCAGUAGGCUCCCAAGGAUGUUAUAUGACCCGAGCACAUCUAUGCCCCCAAAAAGGAUGGUGUCAGCAGAUGGUGAUAGCCACAUGAUUUCCCACACUUGAUAUCAACCUCAGAAUAUAUGGCAGAAAGUUUGGAUCAUGCUCUCCACCUACUAUUCAUUUAUUGUCCCCAGAGAUCAUGCUGUUUACCUCAGGGCCGAAGGCAGGCUGGAGGCAGACAGAUUCCAGCCUUUCUUACAAAUGGAUGUUUAUUUCUUCCAAACAGUAAUAAAUUGAACCUCUUUUUACAUUUAAUCUCCAACCCUAAACUCAGCAUUUUUGAUAAGUUGGCCCCUGGUCAACCUUACCCAUAUAAUUAAAAAUUGACUUUUCAUUCCUGAGACAGAGGUAAAAGAAUGGAUUCGACCUUUUUUUCCCGAUAUUUCUUUGCAUGUGAAAUAUGUUCCGCACCUGCAAUUCUUCUCUUCCAUGCAGUGUUCUUCCUCUCACAUUUUCUCUUCUGCAGAAGAAGCAACAAAGUUAAAUGGGCUCUUAAGGCACAAGAUACCAAAUCCAUUUCUGACUCUCAGUUUGCUCACUGUGCAAACAUGAGCAGCUUAUGCAACUUCUAGAAAACCCCCAAGUCUUAGUUUCCUCAUGAGUCAAGGGAGAUGAGAAUGUCUGCCCUGCAGGAUUGCUGAAAUAGUUAAAAAUUCCGAAGAUUCUCAGUCUCCUUGCACAAUGCCUGGUACAGAGAAGGUGCUCAAUAGGUGCUAAUUCUUUCCUUUUCUCAGGCUCUUCCCCUCCCUAAAAACUUGAAGGCAGAGAGAAAGAUACACUCUGAACUUAGGGCCACCUAAAUCUUUAUUCAAAUAUUCCUGUAUUUGAUUUUUUAAAUAAGUAACCAAUUGAUUUUUUUAAUGGAGGCUUCAUUACAUAGGCAUAAUUGAUUAAGAACUGAAAUGAACUCAUUGCAAAGUACCAUUUUAAAGAAAAGCCAUACACAGCUGUGAUGAGCACCGGGUAUUCUAUGUAAGUGAUGAAUCACUAAAUUCUAUUCUGAAACCAGUAUUAUACUGUGUUAACUAACUGGAAUUUAAUAAAAACUUGAGAAAG